Molecule: non-coding RNA, 145 nt
Organism: Gossypium raimondii (Peruvian cotton)
Lineage: Eukaryota; Viridiplantae; Streptophyta; Magnoliopsida; Malvales; Malvaceae
Source: Rfam
UGUUAAAAAUUUCAUCUAUUUUUACUGUUAAAAACUGACAUGGCUAAUAGAAUGACCAAACAAUUUCACGUGGCAUGUUAUGUAUACCUCAUGUUGAUGCAUAAAGACUAAUUUUUAACAUUAUAAGUGGAUGGAAUCUAUAACA